UAAGGAAUCUUCCACAAUGGGCGAAAGCCUGAUGGAGCAACGCCGCGUGCAGGAUGAAGGCCUUCGGGUUGUAAACUGCUUUUAUGUGCGAGGAAUAUGACGGUAACACAUGAAUAAGGAUCGGCUAACUCCGUGCCAGCAGCCGCGGUCAUACGGAGGAUCCGAGCGUUAUCCGGAGUGACUGGGCGUAAAGAGUUGCGUAGGUGGCAGUCUAAGCAAAUGGUGAAAGCGUGUGGCUCAACCAUACAGCUAUUAUUUGAACUGGAUUGCUUGAGAGCAGGAGAGGUAGAUGGAAUUCCCAGUGUAGGAGUGAAAUCCGUAGAUAUUGGGAGGAACACCGAUGGCGUAGGCAGUCUACUGGCCUGUUUCUGACACUGAGGCACGAAAGCGUGGGGAGCGA
RNAcentral lists this ribosomal RNA (400 nucleotides) under uncultured bacterium. RNAcentral describes it as "bacterial SSU rRNA". It matches the Rfam family "Bacterial small subunit ribosomal RNA", at positions 355 to 771 of the family's 1533-position model. The record is from RNAcentral.